AUCCAGCUGACGAGUCUCAAAUAGGACGAAACGCGCGUCCUCGAU
Non-coding RNA from Schistosoma mansoni, 45 nucleotides. The record is from Rfam. NCBI's taxonomy places the organism in Eukaryota, Metazoa, Platyhelminthes, Trematoda, Strigeidida, Schistosomatidae.